RNAcentral lists this ribosomal RNA (309 nucleotides) under uncultured bacterium. Its description in RNAcentral is "bacterial SSU rRNA". It matches the Rfam family "Bacterial small subunit ribosomal RNA", at positions 30 to 322 of the family's 1533-position model. The record is from RNAcentral.
AUUGAACGCUGGCGGCGUGCCCAACACAUGCAAGUCGAGCGGUAACAGGUGGUAGCAAUACAUGCUGACGAGCGGCGAACGGGUGAGUAAUGCUUCGGAAUCUGCCCAUGUAGUGGGGAAUAACCAGCCGAAAGGUUGGCUAAUACCGCAUACGACCCUUGCCCACAAGGCAAAGGUGAAAGCAGGGGAUCGCAAGACCUUGCGCUAUUGGAUGAGCCGAAGUCGGAUUAGCUAGUUGGUAGGGUAACGGCCUACCAAGGCGACGAUCCGUAGCUGGUCUGAGAGGACGACCAGCCACACUGGGACUGA